GCCCGGGUGGUCUAGUGGUAUGAUUCUCGCUUAGGGUUCAAACCCAAGCAUAUCUGCGAGAGGUCCCGCGUUCGAUCCGCGGCUCGGGCC
This 90-nucleotide transfer RNA is filed under the name Aspergillus melleus. RNAcentral's name for it is "tRNA-Pro". Lineage: Eukaryota; Fungi; Ascomycota; Eurotiomycetes; Eurotiales; Aspergillaceae. The record is from RNAcentral.